RNAcentral lists this ribosomal RNA (437 nucleotides) under uncultured bacterium. RNAcentral describes it as "partial 16S ribosomal RNA". It matches the Rfam family "Bacterial small subunit ribosomal RNA", at positions 28 to 507 of the family's 1533-position model. The record is from RNAcentral.
GAUGAACGCUGGCGGCAUGCUUAAUACAUGCAAGUCGGACGGGCAGUGGUGUUUCUUGUGGCGGUCGCGUUAGCAACGCGCAAGAACCUGCCCUUGGGAUGGGCACAAUAGCAGGAAACGGCUGCUUAUACACCCCGGGCCUAGGACCAAAUGGUGUAAUCCGCCCGAGGGGGGGCUUGUGUCUGAUUAGCUAGUUGGUGCGGCAAUAGCUUACCACGGCGAUGAACAGUAGAUGGUCCGAGAGGAUGAACAGCCACACUGGGACUGAGCCACGGCCCAGACUCCUACGGGAGGCAGCAGUAGGGAAGACGGCGCAAUGGGCGAAAGCCUGACGAGGCAAUGGCGCGUGGAGGUAGAAGGACCACGGAUCGUGAACUGCUUUUCCCGGAGAGGAAGCAAUGACGGUAUCUGGGGAAUAAGCAACGGCUAACUCUGUG